RNA transcript from Triticum dicoccoides, 1263 nucleotides. RefSeq lists it as uncharacterized. The transcript is spliced from 3 exons. Lineage: Eukaryota; Viridiplantae; Streptophyta; Magnoliopsida; Poales; Poaceae. The record is from RefSeq and is a predicted model, not a curated record.
CCACCACACCACACCCGGCUGCCCUGAUCCCCACCUCCUCCCUCGAUUCCCUCCGCCAAACGCCAGAUCUCGCCGCCGACGCCCCCACGAUCGGCCUCGCCGCUGCCACUCCUCCUCCGCCGUCAAUGCGCUCCCUCCCCACGGCCGGCGCGCUCCCACCCGACGGCUGGCGCGGUCCCUCCCCGGCCGGCGCGCUCCCUUCCCGCGGCUGGCACGGUCCCUCCCUGCAGCCGGCGCCCAUCCUCCUCCGCGACCGGCGCGGUCCCUCCCUGCUGCAACCCGCCAAUGCUCCUCCGCGGCCGGUGCGGUCCGUCCCGGCUGCAGCCUGCUAAUUCUCCUCCGCGAUCAGCACGGUUCCUCACCGCUGCAGCCCGCCCCUCCUCCAUAGAUGGCCUGCACCGGCCGCUACAGCCCAUCCAGGUGGUGGCCGUCAUCCUCGAUCCCGAUCCACAUCUGCCUGGGCUUCUAUGGCUGACCUGCCCAAUCACCGAUGGAUUCCUUCUCCAAAUAGUACAAGAGCUACUCCCGCUCUGCCUCCGACCUCCCUCCUCCCCCACACGGCGAGUGUACUGCUCCCUACAACGCCCAUACCAUUCUUUCUCCCCUGGAUGCAUCUGGUCUCUCUUCAAUUACCGGUCAGCACCAACGCUGCGAACAAAAAAAGGGCCCUGUGAUAGGGCAUCCAUCUUUUUUCAUCGAAGUCGCUGUCGUCCAUCUGCGUCGAGGCCACCCUGCCAGUGUAAAAUUCUGCUCUCAAAGGUGUCUGUUAUUGUGUAGAAAUCCUUCAGGAAAAAAUGCAAAAGAAAAAUGGAGCAGGAGUCGGAGGCCUCAAGCCCUCUCUCCACUUCGUGGCUUCUUGUUCUCAAAGCACAAGCUGCUCUUGCUACUAUUAGUAAACUACUUCUGCUCACUAUAAUGGGCUGAGGGGCGUUGCCCAACUACGUGGAUGCUCGCCUGCUCACCGAGCGUCGCUGUAGUCCACCCCGAAGCCGUCAGCAGGAGGAGCUUGCACCAGUCCCGCCUCUCCUUCGUCCAGUGCUCCAAGAGGCCAGGGCAGAAAAACCGGUCAUCUUCUGAUGAGCCCUGCCCCAACAGGAACCUCUCCCUACCUCUGUCAGCUACUAAUGGGCACCAUAGUGUGAAGUUGAUGUAGAGAACAAGUUCUGAUUAUGUGCUCUGUACAUGCUUGUUGAUAUGUCAAUGAGAACCAACUUUUUUUCUUCAGGUUGUUGCGAUGACGCUUGAUAGUUAAUAGUUUUGCAA